This 676-nucleotide long non-coding RNA is filed under the name Sus scrofa (pig). Its description in RNAcentral is "lncRNA (ENSSSCG00065002704.1)". The record is from RNAcentral. Lineage: Eukaryota; Metazoa; Chordata; Mammalia; Artiodactyla; Suidae.
AUUUCUUUCAUAGUAUAGAUUUUAUGCAGUCUUUUAAAGUUGGUUUUGAAGUAAUUUUAAUGACAUUUGAAAAUUCUAGUGUUAUAAUAUUAACUGGAAAAAUUAGAUUGUUAGCCCACAUAUGUACUUUAAUAUCAACCAGGUAAAUAUAGGCUUAUAAAAAGAAGGAAGGAACUAAGGUAAAACAGUAACUACUAUUCUCUGGAUGGUGUUGCUAUGGGUAGUUAAAUUGCUGAAUAAAUACUUUUAUAAACUUUAAGGUUUUAAAAUAAUGGAUAUGCGUGACAUUGAUUAGGAGAAACACGUGACUGGUAUAAUAAAAGCAAAAGUCUACUCAUUGUGUUGGCUUAGCUUGAGACAGCUUUAGAACACACUUCUGUGUGUCUCUCCUUUCUGUAUCCAAAUCUAGGGACUCUCAGACUCAAAUGAUGCUGCCAGUUGGAUGGGAUGGCACUCAGUCUGUUCCUUUAACUUCUUUGGGCAUCUACAUGCUGCAUGAUGAGCAGGGACUCCGGCAGCUGCAUUACCUACCUUAUAUCAGACCUUCUACAAGAUAAAGACCACUGCUCUGCAAGGUAAGAAUUACAGUUUCCAUUUAUAAAUGGAGAAACUGAGGUCCACGAAAGUUAAAUGACUUUCCGAAGGUCAACUUGACAGAGGAACCUGAAUUAAUGUU